CGAACGCNGGCGGCGUGCUUAACACAUGCAMGUUGAACGGGCAGAUAUGGAAGCUUGCUGAAGUAUCUGUUAGUAGCGGACGGGUGAGUAAUGCAUGAGGAGCUGUCAUAGGGAGGGGGACAACAGUUGGAAACGGCUGCUAAUACCCCGUAUGCCGGAAGGUGAAAGGGAGCGAUCCGCCCGAUGAGGUACUCAUGUCCUAUCAGCUGGUUGGUGGGGUAACGGCCUACCAAGGCGACGACGGGUAGCCGGCCUGAGAGGGUGAACGGCCACACUGGAACUGAGAUACGGUCCAGACUCCUACGGGAGGCAGCAGUGGGGAAUAUUGGGCAAUGGGGGGAACCCUGACCCAGCGACGCCGCGUGAGGGAAGACGGCCUUCGGGUUGUAAACCUCUUUUGUACGGGAAGAAGGAAGUGACGGUACUGUACGAAUAAGUCCCGGCUAACUACGUGCCAGCAGCCGCGGUAAUACGUAGGGGACGAGCGUUGUCCGGAAUUACUGGGCGUAAAGGGCGCGUAGGCUGUGCUGCAAGUCAGCUGUGAAAUAUCUGGGCUUAACCUGGAUAUGCGGAUGAGACUGCAGUGCUGGAGUGCUGUAGAGGCAAGUGGAAUUCCCAGUGUAGCGGUGAAAUGCGUAGAUAUUGGGAAGAACACCGGUGGCGAAGGCGACUUGCUGGGCAGCAACUGACGCUGAGGCGCGAAAGCCAGGGGAGCGAACGGGAUUAGAUACCCCGGUAGUCCUGGCCGUAAACGAUGAAUGCUAGGUGUGGGUGUAGAGAUACAUUCGUGCCGGANUUAACGCGAUAAGCAUUCCGCCUGGGGAGUACGGUCGCAAGA
This 838-nucleotide ribosomal RNA is filed under the name uncultured Synergistes sp. Its description in RNAcentral is "bacterial SSU rRNA". It matches the Rfam family "Bacterial small subunit ribosomal RNA", at positions 30 to 893 of the family's 1533-position model. The record is from RNAcentral. Lineage: Bacteria; Thermotogati; Synergistota; Synergistia; Synergistales; Synergistaceae.